AUGCCAGACAUGGCCCUCAGACGCGGUGGUCACUCCGCUGUGAUGCCCUAUAAGGAUUCUGGAGCCUGUGGUCCAGAAACCAGCCUUUUACAAGCUCUGGAUGCCCUGCCGGUUUCGCUUCUUUUGCUCUGUCUCAGGGAGGGACCUCGGAGGGUUGGGGAUGGUGCUCGGAAGGAGCCCCCCCUGUAACUGCCCCCCAACAGCAUGUAAGGCUGCCGUCCGCUGGAAGCCAGGCUCUGUGCAGCCGGCGGUGCCGUUUGUGUGAACUGACACCUCUCCAUUUCGAGAAUCCAUGAUGUGUGUAGACCCUGAAGUCCUGGCUUGCACAGGGCGCGCGCGUUUCUCCUAGCCACGAGUCCUUCCGUGGCUCUGUGUGUUUCUUGAGUCCCCCGAGUCCGUGGGGGUGAAAGAAUAACCCC
This 419-nucleotide long non-coding RNA is filed under the name Pogona vitticeps (central bearded dragon). RNAcentral's name for it is "lncRNA (ENSPVIG00000010691.1)". Lineage: Eukaryota; Metazoa; Chordata; Lepidosauria; Squamata; Agamidae. The record is from RNAcentral.